Molecule: ribosomal RNA, 538 nt
Filed under: uncultured Mycobacterium sp.
Lineage: Bacteria; Bacillati; Actinomycetota; Actinomycetes; Mycobacteriales; Mycobacteriaceae
Description: bacterial SSU rRNA
Rfam family: Bacterial small subunit ribosomal RNA
Source: RNAcentral
CAUGCAAGUCGAACGGAAAGGGCUCUUCGGGGUGACUCGAGUGGCGAACGGGUGAGUAACACGUGGGUGAUCUGCCCUGCACUUUGGGAUAAGCCUGGGAAACUGGGUCUAAUACCGGAUAGGACCAUGGCCUUCAUGGUUUGUGGUGGAAAGCUUUUGCGGUGUGGGAUGGGCCCGCGGCCUAUCAGCUUGUUGGUGGGGUAAUGGCCUACCAAGGCGACGACGGGUAACCGGCCUGAGAGGGUGUCCGGCCACACUGGGACUGAGAUACGGCCCAGACUCCUACGGGAGGCAGCAGUGGGGAAUAUUGCACAAUGGGCGCAAGCCUGAUGCAGCGACGCCGCGUGAGGGAUGACGGCCUUCGGGUUGUAAACCUCUUUCAGUAGGGACGAAGCGUAAGUGACGGUACCUGUAGAAGAAGCACCGGCCAACUACGUGCCAGCAGCCGCGGUAAUACGUAGGGUGCGAGCGUUGUCCGGAAUUACUGGGCGUAAAGAGCUCGUAGGUGGUUUGUCGCGUUGUUCGUGAAAACUCAACA